GAUGAACGCUGGCGGCGUGCCUAAUACAUGCAAGUCGAGCGAACAGAUGAGGAGCUUGCUCCUCUGACGUUAGCGGCGGACGGGUGAGUAACACGUGGAUAACCUACCUAUAAGACUGGGAUAACUUCGGGAAACCGGAGCUAAUACCGGAUAAUAUAUUGAACCGCAUGGUUCAAUAGUGAAAGACGGUUUUGCUGUCACUUAUAGAUGGAUCCGCGCCGCAUUAGCUAGUUGGUAAGGUAACGGCUUACCAAGGCAACGAUGCGUAGCCGACCUGAGAGGGUGAGCGGCCACACUGGAACUGAGACACGGUGCAGACUCCGACGGGAGGCAGCAGUAGGGAAUCUUCAGCGAUGGGCGAAAGCCUGACGGAGAAACGCCGCGUGAGUGAUGAAGGUCUUCGGAUCGUAAAACUCUGUUAUUAGGGAAGAACAAAUGGGUAAGUAACUAUGCACGUCUUGACGGUACCUAAUCAGAAAACCACGGCUAACUACGUG
This 497-nucleotide ribosomal RNA is filed under the name uncultured bacterium. RNAcentral describes it as "partial 16S ribosomal RNA". It matches the Rfam family "Bacterial small subunit ribosomal RNA", at positions 28 to 507 of the family's 1533-position model. The record is from RNAcentral.